This 435-nucleotide ribosomal RNA is filed under the name uncultured bacterium. Its description in RNAcentral is "partial 16S ribosomal RNA". It matches the Rfam family "Bacterial small subunit ribosomal RNA", at positions 28 to 507 of the family's 1533-position model. The record is from RNAcentral.
GAUGAACGCUGGCGGUAUGCUUAACACAUGCAAGUCGAACGGACUCUUCGGAGUUAGUGGCGGACGGGUGAGUAACGCGUGAGAAUCUGGCUUUGGGUUCGGGACAACCACUGGAAACGGUGGCUAAUACCGGAUGUGCCGAGAGGUAAAAGAGAAAUUGCCUGAAGAUGAGCUCGCGUCUGAUUAGCUAGUUGGUGAGGUAAAGGCACACCAAGGCAGCGAUCAGUAGCUGGUCUGAGAGGAUGACCAGCCACACUGGGACUGAGACACGGCCCAGACUCCUACGGGAGGAGGCAGUGGGGAAUUUUCCGCAAUGGGCGAAAGCCUGACGGAGCAAUACCGCGUGAGGGAAGAAGGCUCUUGGGUUGUAAACCUCUUUUCUUAGGGAAGAACAAAAUGACGGUACCUAAGGAAUCAGCAUCGGCUAACUCCGUG